UAAGACGAAGGGGGCUAGCGUUGUUCGGAAUUACUGGGCGUAAAGCGCGUGUAGGCGGUUGUUCAAGUCAGGUGUGAAAGCCUUGAGCUCAACUCAAGAAAUGCACUUGAUACUGGAUGACUAGAGGACCGGAGAGGAUAGUGGAAUUCCCAGUGUAGUGGUGAAAUACGUAGAGAUUGGGAAGAACACCAGUGGCGAAGGCGGCUAUCUGGACGGUUUCUGACGCUAAGACGCGAAAGCGUGGGGAGCAAACAGGAUUAGAUACCCUGGUAGUCCACGCCGUAAACGAUGGGUGCUAGACGUUGGCGAGCUUGCUCGUCAGUGUCGCAGCUAACGCGUUAAGCACCCCGCCUGGGGAGUACGGCCGCAAGGUU
RNAcentral lists this ribosomal RNA (374 nucleotides) under uncultured bacterium. Its description in RNAcentral is "bacterial SSU rRNA". It matches the Rfam family "Bacterial small subunit ribosomal RNA", at positions 521 to 895 of the family's 1533-position model. The record is from RNAcentral.